UAGAAGUACUUUCGGCUUGUCCCUUUCGGGGUCGCCACUGCGUGUCAUCUCAGAUGCAACGCAUUUUCCAAAUUGUCGAUAUGACGGAAAUUUUCUUUGAGGUAUUAAGGGUUUAUUUCCUAUUGCCUUAUAGUUUUGUAAUGAACGCAUAAAGAUGUCACAAUGGGAUAUUAUGUAGUAUAUUUUUAAUAAAGAUUUGAAGAGAGACAACCCAAGCCUGGCCAGCCUACUGGCGGCCAGCCAGCACUCCCUGGCCACGUUUCAAGAUAACUUUGCAUGCAGGCGGAGGGACACAAAGUGUAGGUUGGCAAGCCGCUGCUGCUUGAGGGGAGCUGUGUAGCCAAUCGUGAGGUAUAGGGAAGUGCGAGGCAGUACCGGAUUUUUCCCUAAGCAGUGCUAUAUACUCUAACCACCAAGGUCCUGGUCGUCCUGUUGUAGUGGCACAUGGGGACUACUGAAGUGACGGUUAAUUUGCAUCCUUGUUCCACCACCGGGAUGUCCUUUCCUGCAAGGCACCUUCUGCACUUCCACAUCUGACAGUUGCUGGUGACGUUUACCAAGUCGCAAGCUUGGUAAGCUGGACAGGUGUAGUCUCCUUGAGUACGGUCCUGGGUACUGCUUUUCCAUCUUAUGUGGAACCGCUGGAUCUGCUCGAAUUUGUCACCCUCCGUCAUUGCGCAGCAGAGUUGGACUAUGGCACCAAGGACAAGGAUACACGUGACCCAGCAGACGACAUUGCCACCUCUUGGGCCCUCGGUCUUCCCUGGUCCGGCCAUGGCGCCUCUCCGAUGAUGGUCUUACAAUCAGCAAAUACCACCACGGCAUCUGUAUUACGACAAAUAGUGCAUACUCCAAACAUAUGAUUAGUUCUCUCUUGUAUAACAUUUUGACACCGGUACAUUUACCCAUUUUUCUUCUCCAGGAUAUAAGACGCUCACAGUAACAUCUUGCCCUUGAGCUAAAAUUUCUGCUGCUCGGGGAGGACCGUCUGGCUGUUUUACCCAAACUUUUGCCCCUGCCAAAUCAGUGGAGCCAAAUCCUCCCUCCCCUCAGGUGGUUAUCACUACAGGUUUAGGUAUUUCUUUUACCUUGGUUACAAGGCAAGGCUUCACUAUUGAGCAAUUUUGUCCCCUCUUUCCAAUGUAAGGGGCUGUUCUGCUAAUAAUUUGCAUUCCACUCCAAUUUCUCCUUGAUAGUCCGCAUCAAUUACUCCGGCUUGAAUUGUUAACCCUUUUAGUGAUAACCCACUUCGUGGUAGAAUGUGUCCAUAUGUCCCUGGUGGACACUGGAGCCCCGUUCCUGUUUUUACUAUUUGGAUUUCGUUGGGAACCAGAGUGAUGUUUGUCAGGAUUUUCAAAUCCAAUCCCACUGAGCCUGGAGUAGCUCGUACAGGAAUUUCAGCUUGAGGAUCAAUUUUCCACAUUUUAAUUUCCCCAUUGGAAUUUUGUACUGGUUCCCCCAUUAUCAUUCGUAUUAGGGGCGUUAUUCCCACCCCAAGCGGUCUAUUAUUAAUCUGAUUCACCGCCUCGGGUAUGCACCAUUUGUCCAGCGUUCUGUUUCGAGAUAGCUUUUUUCAUGUUUCCUUAAGAAUUCCGUUCAUUCGCUCUAUUAACCCAGCAGCCUGUGGAUAAUAGGGAAUGUGAUAGAUCCAUUCUACAUGGUGAGUCUUUACCCACUCUUUCACCACAUUUCCUGUGAAAUGCGUUCCAUUAUCCGUCUGUAUUUGAACUGGUGUUCCAUAAUACCUCUGUAUUACUUCUAAACAUCGUAUUGUGCUUCGUUGUUUUGCUGUUUUACAGGGAUGAACUACCAGAACCCCUGAGAAUUUGUCUACUGCGGUGCAGGCCUGAGACUGUGGCAGUGGUCCAACAAAAUCCAUCUGACUGGUCUGUCCAGAGGUUUUACCCCUGUGUAGCUGUCCUGCCACAUGCUGAGGAACACCUCGCCUCUGAUGUUGACAUUCUUCACAUUCUGCAAUAGCGGUUCUGACAUCGUCGUACUUCAGAUCUAUGCCCCUGUCUCGAGCCCACUGGAGAGUUCCUUGUACUCCCCAAUGUCCUGCUUUAACAUGAGCCCAUCUAGCUAACCCUGGGCUAGACUCUCUUACUUCCGUCAUGAUUUUUGUCCUAGUUGUGGGUUGAAUGCACCGGCCUUUCCAUCGCCGUUUACCAGCAAUGUAUUGGCACGACCCAUCAGUGAACCAAGCACUCUCUUUUUCCUCCUUAUCUAGGUCGUCCCAUCGUUUUCCCGCCGUUACUGGAGACUCUUCGAGAGGAUGUACCUCGAACGGCGUCUCUCCAUCCUCCGGAGCAUCUGCAACUUGUUCAUGCAACAUAGAGACUCCUUUUUCCCCUAUUUUAAUUCGCUCAGACAUACCAUUUCCAUUUGAUAAUACUAGCUUCCUGUGCGGAUCCUAUUCUACGUGUCGUCGGGUUACCUUUAACCCAUGUCAAAAUCGGUAUAUGUGUUCUUAUUAAUACCUCAUGGCCCACCGUUUGAGCCUCAGUUUCAACCAAUGCCCAAUAGCAUGCUAAUAGCUGCUUUUCAAAAGGUGUGUACCUUAGGCCUGCUUCUGGGAGCUUUCUCGACCAGAAUCCCAAGGGUUUACGAAUCCUAUCUUGCUUUUGCCACAAACUCCAGUUAGCGUAUUCAUUUAACGCCAACACCUGCAAUCCUACCGGUCCCGAUUUCAUUUUUCCCUGUGACUCUGCUUGCUGUAUCGCUUCCUUCGCCAUAUCAAAUGAUCGCUGUUGUUCUUCUCCCCAACUAAAGUCCUCCUUUUUCCUAGUGCAUUUGUAGAGAGGUUGAAGUAUCUGUCCCAAAUGAGGAAUAUGACCCGAUAUAUUUCCUAGCAUCUGCCUUGGUGUGUGGAACUGGAAAGUUAGCAAUUUUAGCCUUAGCUUUUUCUGCCACUUCCCUUUCCGCUUUGUUCCAGAUGAUUCCUAGAAAUUUCACCGUUUGCGAAGGUCCUUGGAACUUUGCAGGGUUAAUUUCCCAUCCGAACCCUUUCAUGUGCUGUAUUAGCUGUCCUAGAGCUUCCUUCACCUCUUCCUCACUCGUUCCUUGCACUAGUAUGUCAUCGAUAUAAUGUGAUAUCAUUAUUUUCUUGGGAACUUUUAGCUUUUCCAGGUGCUCUGCUACCACCCGGUGGCAGAUUGUGGGACGAUGUAAAUAACCCUGUGGUAGUCUGGUAAACGUGUAUUGGCGCCCUUCCCAGGUAAACGCAAAUUGAUUCAUCCUAUCCUUAGGAAUAGGAAUAGUGAAAAAUGCGUUAGCCAAAUCUAUGACCCCAUACCACGUUCCAGGAUGAUGUUGCACUCGUUCUAUAAUUGUCACUGCGUCGGGCACCACGACAGUCAAUGCAGGUGUGUGUUUAUUCAAUCCUCCGUUGUCUACUGUCAUCCUCCAAGAGUUAUCUGAUAACGGAUUGUUCCAGUUUGUCGUCACUGUUUUCAAUACACCAGCUUCUAAAUGUUCUUUAAUGGUCGCCGAAAUUUCUCCCUGUCCUCCAGGUAUCCGGUAUUGCUUUUGACUAACUACCUGUGUAACUUGUGGUAUCGGAAAAGGUGGCAUUUUUACUUUACACACCAAUAUUGUAUGUAUUUUCAGUGAAUUUACUCCGAAUUCAAAUCUCCCGGCUGUCAAAUAAAGUAUCAUUCCGGCUAAUAUGUCCAUGCCCACUAUUUACUCUGGGAUAGGGGUUAUGAUCACCAUAUAUGAUUUAUAGGCAAAUAUUUCCUAUUUUCAACGGUAAGUUUACAUGUUUUACAUAAAUCACUUUUCCUCCUAGACCUGUUAAUGGUACUAGGGAUUUCCAUAAAUUAUUGAGGCCUCCGCCCCGGUAUCUACUAACGCUGUUACUGUUUGAACUGAUUUAUCCCAAUAAAUUUCCAUCCUCACAUGAGGUCUAAUAUCACUGAUAGACCAUCGUUGAGCAGGUUGUUAACGAGCUACCAGGGCUUGGCCUUCAUCCUAUUCAUCAUCAUGAUGGCGUUGUUUAUUUUUGCCUUUCUUCCCCUUCUUCCGUCGCUGCACUGCUGCUACCUGCCUCACUUCCUCCUCCUCGCUUGAUGAAGUCCCCUGUGUGGGAGGUGCAAUAGGAGUGGUAGGAGGGACAAUGGGAGGGGGCGGUUCAAGCUACCUGUGGAUGCUAUGGAAAAUUUAUAAAUCUUUAGGAUUAGGGUUAGUGGUAUAAGUGCAGCUUGUCAGCUGCCAACUUUGACGGAUGCCCAUUACGCGGGAAAGACGCCCAACACAAGUUUGUCAGCUGUUGGAAAAUCUACUCCCCAUGCAGGGCAGAGGCAAAAGAUUAGCCAGGAAUGGUUUUUAAAUUCAAGUGGCUCAAAUUGAGGGACUCAUUUUUUUUCUGCCAAUGGUGUAUUGACAGUGGGAGAAAAAAUGUUCUGACACGCUGAAAAUCAUCAGUGGCGCUGAAGUUGGAUGACUUUGUGAAGCAUCAGCAGACAAUUGAUCCAAGUUUGCUGCAACUGCAAAGACAUAGUUGAUGUAGAAAGUGGUUUCAGCAGGCAUAGCAUUGUAAAGACGUCCUUAAGAAACUCUCAAAACAGAAAGUGUAAAUGAACUGUUAAUCGUUAAAAUUGAAGACCCUGAAGAAUUGUUUGAUUUUGAUACAAGUUUUUGUAAAUGGGUGAGCAGUAAAAAGAGGUGAAACUUUAUGGUAGGAAUCAUGCAAAAACUUUGUGUUGAAAAGUGAUGUAUUUUCUACAGUCAGGAGUAUAGAAGAGGAUUGAGAAACUUUUUUUUAUGACACAUCUCGUCAUUCUUAAUGUUUAUUAGAUUCAGUUCCCAAUAGAAAUAUAAUUCCUUGUAUCACAUUUACGUCUGAAAGUUAUUUGUAUGCAUGUAACCUGAAGAACAAGAAAAAGUAUUAGUCAUGUUAGUAGACCACAGUUUGACCGACAUGUGAUUGGCUAUUUUUUGGCUAUGAUUAUAGAAAAGUGGCUAAUGAAAAUUUAUUUUGGUUAAAAAAAAAAUGGCUAAUGAUGAAAAAAGGCUAGCCAGGGCCCUCAGUCAUGCCAAAAACGCAUGUUCAGAGCUUCUUUGCGUGCGGCGAGGGCAUUUAUGUUGAAAGUCAUCAACAUGAGCCAUGUCAAAGGAAUUUCAGUUACACUGAAAACAUUUUUGGGAUAUAACACAGGUAAUGUUUUAGUAUCUAACUAUCAUAAGUAUGAGAUUGUGAUUGACUUUACUUGAUUUACUUUGACAUGAUCUAAGUUCUAACGUUAGACUAGUCUGUCCAUAUAUGUAAAUGCAAAUGGUCAAUUUCCCCAUGGUACGUUAUCAUGAAAUUGAAAACUUUUCUCCUCUACAUGCUUUAGGAAGUUAUAGAUCAUCUAGCCUAGCUUUCAUCAAUGGAUUGACAACAGAUGCCGCCAUAAAUUAUGCUAGAUUAUAACAAUACAUCACGAUUCCCGACAGGAAUGUUUGUUACAAUGUACCGCUAGCUUGUUGCCACUAAUGCCGAUUAUGUUGAACUAAACUUUCAUGUUUGUGUAAAGGAACUGAUAACUGUGUAUCUCCUCCUCUGAUACUGUAUCCGGGGUUGCCUGUGUAGAGCCUCUCUAGUAUAAAAUACUUCGACGAGGUACCCACCUGAGUUCUUUUCUUACUCCAAAGUACGAAACUAAGAAAGUAACUCAAUGUUAUUUACUGUAAAUGUCUACAUUUUUAUAUUAUUAUAUUCAUUACAAUUUUACUCUUUACUUGUGCAUUUAAUUCUCUAUCAAAAGACUCUGAAAUAAUAUUUCCCCUUAUGACUUAAUAUUAUCCGAAUUUAAAUAAUCAAGCUACCAAAUAAACUCACCAUUAUUUUAACUAUCUGGCAGAUAGUCAAAUAAUAAACCAGGUUAUGUAACAAAAAGUGUGAACCUUUAAUAACAAAAUAAAGGAUGGAAAAAUCAAACAUGUAUGCACAACAGUCAAUUUAACAGGUACACAAUGCACACAUGCGCACGCCCCAAACAAAUAAGAAUAUAGCCGGCAAGCAAACAAAAUUCAAACCCCAAUGUCACUGCGGUGCUUCCCAAGGCAGGAGUGAAGAAAGGUGAAGGUGGUUUUUCCUCUGUCCAGCGUCCUCACAGUCCUCGUCCCUUUUUCUUCCUUGAAAUCCAAACAAAGCCUUGCUACCCGCAUUAGCUCGACGCUAGCGCCCUUGUCCUCUCCUUCGUGGUCCAGUUCAGAGGCCUGGCUAGCUACCGUUAGCUCGUUGCUAGCACCCAAGCCAAGUCACAUGCAUGCACCUCGCCCCUGUGGUAGCAGCUAACUCCACCACAUUACAGUGUGGUUUGAGUAGUCCACUCAAACGACACACUAUCCCAGUUGAACUUUCCACAGUCCUUGUCAAACACGUCGAUCAACUUUUGAUCACUUUCUUUGUCCUUUCGUUGCCCUCCAACCACCACUCUUACCUUCCACUCCGUCUCCCUUUUUUUCUCUUUUUCGUGUCUCCUCAACACGUCACUUCCUGUCCUUCUUAAACAAUGGUUUCAACAAUAAAAUGGGGAACAGACGUAUUUCUUUUUCACAAAUGAAUCAAACACAUUUAAAUACAAAUCCCUGCAAAAGAAAAUACAGUCAGCCUACACACUAACAGAUAUUUCACCACAUGGCAUAAAGAAAACCUAUAACGUAAUUGCUACUCAAUUAUACUGAAAUUUUACCUGUACCAACUUUUAACCGGGUUACACCUGGUUGUAUACAUUGGGAUGACACCAGUGAAUGGGUACCCCCUUAUCCUCCACAAGUCAAACAGCAACCUGAGCAAUCAAGUAACGAUGAAGGGCUUUUUUUUUUUUUUUUUACAAAGACUUUUGUGCAGCGUGUGUCUCACACCAGCACGGCUGUCUGUCUUUUGAUGUUGUCUGUUCAGCACCACCCAUUUCUUUGGCAAAAAAAACCUGCGGCAAAAUGGCAGGAUGUAGGCCUGUUUGUUUGUGCACGCAGAAAGCUAUUUAGUGCAUGCACAUGCACACGCACUUGGUGCUCCUUUAAUCUCACACUAAAAUCGACCUUGAUCCAAUCUCAGUUGUUUCACACACAUACUUCUACGGACAUUUCUCCUCUGCUCGAGCAAGUCCCAUCAAUACUGCGGGCUUCCAGUAAGUAUGAUGUUGGACUAACUAAGAACUCUACACUAGUUCAGAUUGAGCCUAAAUCUUCUUAUCGCCCUGUACAGGAUCAAUAUCCACUGCGCGCAGAUGCUGUUGAGGGUGUUUGAAACAUUGCUCAAAACUGGAAUAAUUGUACAAUGUGAUAAUUCUCCAGUUCAAACACCAAUAUUUCCAGUGGAAGAAAAUCAGACCUCAAGGUCAGCUGACUAAAUUACUUUUUUUUUUUUUCAAGAUUUGCAAGCUUUUGAUGCUGCAUUAAAUGCUCUGGCUCCUUGUGUGCCAAACCCUGAUACCAUUUUGAGGUAAAUUCUAUAAAUUUGGAUGGACUACAAUUCGGCAGAAAAACACAUUGUAGUUAGCAUUCGUAGUCCGGCGGUGCAGUAGAAAAAUAAAAUGGGAUUCUAAAAGCUAAAUUGAGUAAAUGUUUUGAGGACAUGAAAUUAAAUUGGAUCAACUGUCUGCCAAUUGUUUCGAUGUAUAUGAGAAUGUAUCCAUCCAAGCCACAAUCUGCCCCCAUUUGAGGUCCUGUUUGCAGGCCCUCAGAAUGUUGGACCGCAUCCUCCACAGUUGUGGAUGGACACACAGCUUUGCGAGGACAACGUGAUCAGGUAUUACACAUCUUUGACUAACCUGCUCUCUGUCAAGAAACAAGUUCAUGCAGCAUUACCGAAGGUGACAGGUGAACCCUUGCCUGAAAUCAAACCCAGUGACUUCGUGCUGAUAAGAAAAUUCCGGCGGAAACCGUGGAGGCAUCAGUGCUGGCUGGGCCCUUUUCAAGUUCCCCUUGUGACAACACAAGUUUGCUGAAAGGGCUAUGUGAGUUCAUGUGUAUUGAAUACAACAAUCUUAUGUCAGGGGCUUGGCCAUGCCACUGCCCUGAGCGAGGCUGCCUCCAGCAGGAGCUCUCACCUGCACCUCAUUGUCUUUAAUUAUUCGAUGUAUUUAAGGCUUGUGUGUUGUGUACUACUGGCCAGUUCAAUGUAUGGGACUGCAUGAGUCUGCGUGAGUAUAUGAGCUUCUUGUAUUAUAUUUGCCUUGCCCCAGCGUUCCUGUGCCACCAUAGCCAAGUAUAGUUAAGUCUUGUUUUUGCCUAGUAGUUAUCGGACGCUGUUUUCAUGUUUUUGGACCUUGCCUUUCGCCAUGCCUUUGUUGGACUGCCUUCCAGUGUAUGACCUCUGACUGGAAGAAAACCACCCUUGAAAUCAUGUCACUGCCUCGAAGUUCUGCAUUUGGGACCCCCCACUCGUCCCAUGAUCAUGAGAGAACAAACUGGCCAGCACAGGACCCAGCGGACUUUUUUCCAGUAAAUGUUGCUCUUCGAGCGCAGUGGUACAGAGAACUUACUAUCCUCUGUCUUCACCUUAGAGAGCAGCAGGGUGCUUUAGCUUCACAGUUUGCGGUUCUUCUUGACCUGGCCCAGUAGAGGGGAUUAACCGACCGACCCCACCUCUUGUUUUUGUUCUGGGAACCCCUGGCAUGUGGCAUUUAACACUCGCUCAUGUUUCGUUGGCACCCAAUCCGUGGUCGCCAACCUUCGUUCUGCUCUCCAGUGACGGUGUUCAACCAAUGGCCACUUCCUGCUCAUGUCUCAGCGAUGCUCAACCCUCCAGCAGCGGCACUGACAUUACGUUUGCCGCCUCCCACUUCUAUUUCGGCAUUCACCAUGUGCUGUUGUUCCGGUACGUGUCGUCCACAAUGUGGUCAUGUCUCAUCACCCGUGGCGUCUACCACCACGUGCCACAUCCAGCCAGUGCCAUCCAUUACACUCUCAUGUCUCGUCAGUGCCUGACACCGAGUCACCUCUCGCUGUUCCUCUUUGGAUCAUGCUUUUUCGUUGGGACCCUCUUCACAGACCUCCACCUGAGUGGCUCCACAGGGAACCUGGUGCUUGAGGUCUUAGCCGAUCUCCUGAACUCCUCAGCCAAGCUCCUUGAUUUGGGUGGCCUCGACGGUCACUACACAGACUGGGGCGGGUGUUUGGCGGUGGAAUGAGACAGCCCUUCGGGGUAUCUUCUCCAACGGUCUCUCAGAAAGAAGCUAGCUUGCUGUCCAAACGAGCCUUCCUCUCUCAAGGCUCUAGUAGCCCUCACUAUAUGCUUGUAAAACAGGCAAUGAGAGAGAGCCCAUGAGAGGUGACUCAUCUCGCGAAAAGACUCUCCAGUUCAGAGCAUCACGCCGUCCGCUGCGCACCUGCCUUCUGCACAGCAUUUCGAACUUUCUUCACUCUUCGUUGCAUCCGAUGAACUCGUGCAAAUUGGUAAAACACGAUUAGAUCCACAAUAACACCACCAUCGUGUCAACCAUUGUGCAUCUUCUGUAGUCAAUCCAGUCGUUUUAUUACUUUGUGCCCUCUGACCUAAAAACAAUUCCAGAAAAUCAGGGUUAGCCAAACUUCCAUUGGCCCAAGCUCUCCAUCCCACAUGACCGUUCCUGCUUGCAUCAUACCAUCUUCUCGAAACACACCCAUUCCUGGCCUAAUUAUUUCCCCUGUAACCCAUCAAACAGUGCCCAUCAUGCUUGUCGCAAGCAAUCAGCGCGAAACCAUAUUCCUCUUUGUCUUUCCCCUGACCUGAGAAUUUUUUUAUAUUUUUAUAUAUAUAUAUAUAUAUUUUAUAUUCCCUGGCUCCAAAUUCACAACCCCGUCAUAGAGUGGACUCAUUUGUCUAUCACUGGAUGGACUCCUCAUUGUCAUUCCCAAUAGAUGCUCUCUGUUCUUACACCCUCCAAAGACGCACUAUCUACUUCCGCCCCUUUAGAACGCUCACAAAUUCCAGAAGAAUAUCUAUCAUGAACUCUCUUCAUUGUUCAUCAAGGAUUUAGCAAUCCCUACCCCCACACCCCCACCAUCCAUAUGACUGUGCCAUUGACCUGCUUGGAGCUCCACUUCCCACCAGCCAACUCUUCAAUCUGCCCUCCCCAGGGAUUACAUCCAUGAUUUAUACGUCCCUUCUCGUCUAAGACACCACUUUCCGCUGACACAUUGACUACCAUGGACUUAAAUGAUAUGACUGUCAAAAUAAAUCUCCACUUUCCCUCAUUUGAACCAAUCGGUGACUCCCAAAUCUUCACCAAACUGGACCUCUGUAUCGCGUACCGCCUAAUCCAUAUCCGAGAGGGUGACGAAUGGAAGACCACUUUCAAGACUCCUCUCAGACAGUAACAGGUCGUUGCUCUUUGGGUUAACAAAAGCUCCCACUGUUUUCCAAACAUUCAUUAACAAUAUCCUCCAGGACGUACUCAACUGGUUUGUAUUCAUGUACCUCAAGGAUAUCCUCAUUUUCUGCUGCUCCCCCGUAAAACACCGUGUUUUUGGACACCAAGUCCUCCAGCCUCCCUCCACCCUCCUCAAAAACUCUCUUUAUGUUGAACCACACAAGUGUGAGUUCCACCUUUCCUCUGUAAAUUUGCUCAGUUACAUCAUUCUGAAAGGACAAUUACAACCAGACACCACAAAAAUCCAAGCUGUAAUGAAACAACCACAACUCUGAAAGAACUGUAACAUUUCCUCGGAUAUUCAAAUUUCUACUGUCAAUUCAUCAUCUCAACUAUACUAUACUAUACUCACUAGCCUCAUGUCCACCAGAUUCCUCUUUCAGUGGCCUCUUUCGUCAGCCUCUCAAACAUUUGAAGCUCAAAUCUUAGUUCUCCGAUUAUACCAUUCUGCGGCACCCUGACGUCUCUCUCCAAUUUGUGAUGAAGGUUGACACUUCGAACACCAGAGCUGAACCUGCGCUCUCACAGCAAGAUCCCACAACCUGGAAUUUCAACCCCUUGUACUUCUUUUCCUGUUGCUUAUCCCCAGCAAAAAGAAACUACAUGGGAAUCAGGAAUUACUAGCCAUAGUAUGGGCUCUACAGAAGUGGAGGCACUGGCUGGAGGGAACUGUGCAGCUGUUCAAAAACCUUGUUUAAGCCCAUUUCACCAAACACCUCAAUCCAUGACAAGUUUGAUGGGCCUGCUUCCUCACCAGGUUCAAUUUCAUUCUCUCCUUCCCUGCCGGUUCUCAUAACACUAAAGCUGAUCCUCUUUCCCAUAUCCACUCACCACUCUCAAGUUCGUCAGAACCCAAACCCAUUCUUCUACCCACCUGCUUCAUAGAAACUGGCAAAUAGAAGAUCGAGCAGGUGGUAAAGGAGGCCCAAAAAAAAAAAAUCCAACCUGAUCCUGGGAUUGGACCUUUUGACCACCUGUUUGUACCAGACUCGGCACGACCCAAUGUCCUGCAAUGAGCCCACAAAUCGAAAAUUAACCCUGGCAACAUCCAUAUGACGCACUUCACCCAAAAGCACUUCUUUUAGCUCAGUCUCAUCAAAGAUAUCAAAGAUUUCAUUAAAACCUGCUCAGUCUGCGCACCUAGCUAUAGCUGACCUGCUAUGAGCAGUGCCGAUUUCAACACGCCCAUGGUCUCACAUCACCGUGGACUUCAUCACCAGGCUUCCCUCCUCUGAAGGUAUCACUGUAACAGUAAUUGAUCGCUUUUCUAAAUGUGACCAAUGUGUUCCCCUCCCAAACUCCCAUUUGAUUUCAGGCAGGAGGGGAUAGUUGAUUGUUGCAGGAAACAGAGAUUUUUGUGAAAACACUGGUCAGCUGAUCAGCACCUUCCCAGGCACUCCAUCUGGGCCGGCAGCCUUCCUGAUGUUUACAAUCCUCAGCAAAAUCUCACUUUGUCUUCCUGAAGCCUCAGUGACCUGCUGAUGGGAGAUGGUUGCAGUGAGUCUGAAUCUGAUCCAUUAGUCUCAAACCGGGAAAAGAAACUGUUUAGUUUCUCUGCUGGCGAGGCGUCCAUUUUGGCACACAUCUGGUUAUUUUUGUGGCAGUUUGUUAUGUGUUGUAACCCCUCCCAGAUUUUAUUUUGAAUUUGACACGGGAAAAAUGAAUAUCUGUGUAUUCCUGGUGGUUCUGAUGUUCAAAUAAUUACCAAACAGUGCUUGAAAAACAGUGGCGCAUAUCAGAGAGCGGAUUCUCAUGCCUUGUUUGUCUUAGUAGGGGAAUGUAUGUGGGGAUGAGAGAAAAUAAAGAUGGGGGGGUAGCCCUAUAUGCAUGUUUAAUGUUGGAGUAUAAAUGAUCCCGGGUUUUAUCCCCUCUGCAGGGACACUUCACAUACUGGACGAAUUUGGGGAGAACAGUCUUUAAACAUGCUUGACUGAAGUCACCAGCAACAAUCUUUCUGGGUGGGCAAGCUGCUGUUUUUUCACAGUUGCAAGCAGACAGCUAAGUAAAGUGCUAACUUUAGCAUCCAGCGAGAUGCAAUGGCAAGUCUUGAAAGAAUUUUGCAAGCCAGGAUGCUUUGCGCCAUUCCCAGCUUGCUUUGAGGCACUUAAUGCCAUAAAGCAUGCUUGGAGGAUGUAAAUUGUGUUUAAAGUGCAUGUUUUUUGUCAAUUAUUUCUUGUGUCAUAUUUUAAUUUGUUUUAUUUGCUAGUUAUUCUGUUAUGUUUGCUGUGGUGUGCAUGUAAAUGUAAAAUUGUGAUUGUUCCCCAACUGCCUUUGGAGCGCAUCAUAUGGUAGCUGACAUACAUGAUGAAACACGUGGUAUCAUAUAUGCUAAAAAUGUAACUGGUGUGUUCAGAUGUACUUCAGUGGUCUAUUCCAGCAGUUGGUGACCUUUAACAUUCAAAGAGCCAUUUCAACCUGGUUUCCACUGAAAAGACAACACUGGGAGCCCCAGAAGUGUAUUUUCCCCUUGGAUCUAGGCAGCAAUCAGAGGGAGGACUCUCAAAGACUGAAGUUUGGGCUAAAUGAGGUGUUACAGCUGCAAGCUACAGGUCAGAUCAAGCAUUGCAUUUUAGAGCGCCUCUCAACUCUUGCUCUCUACUGAAAAAAAAAAUCCUCCUUCCCUCCGUGGGCGUUGACAGGAAGUCCCCCUCUCAUUUUCCCCCCAGGAAACCCUCCCUUCUCCCCCUUACCUAUGACCUGUCCCCCUCUUUUUGGCCCAGGAAAGUCUGUGUCCAUUGAAUAAUUGGGUGCAAUAAACCAAUAAAUGCAAAACAUCAAUAAAUUAUAACCAGGAUCCCUGGUGAUAAUCCUGGUGGUCACCCGUGAGGUGGAUCUUAGAGUAAAUGUACAUCAGUUAUCCCAUACUUACUCUUAUACUCUUAUAGUAUUGCAAAGCAUUAUUUAGCGGUAUAACAUUGUUUGAAUUAUGUAAUUUGAAGUUCUCUGUGAAGAGAGCUGUUACAGAUGCUGGAUAGGAACUGUGCCCUGAUCACAAGAGAGCGGCUGGGGCAUCACGCGGUUGUCUGUAAGGGGGCUUGGCACUAAGGAGGGAUGCAUCUGCAUUGUUGUCUGUGUGCACCUCGAUCCCUAAGAGAAGCAACAGCUGUGUGUAACUAGGGACCACCUUAUGGAAGUAAAAAGAAAGACCUCAUCAGAGUGUGCUUCAGAGUGGUAGUAGAUUGUAACUGUCCAUUCUCCUUGCGAGUAAAAUGUCUCCUGUCAUCUUUUCUUGUCUGUUCUUUAUUAAAUGUUCUAGGUAAAGUGAACCUGAGAUUAACUUGCUCCUUCGAUCCGGAUGCCAAAGUAACAGGAUUCCAGCAGAUGUGGUGGAUUCCAGAAUGAUUGUGGCCACGGCAGGCUCCCUAGAGUGAGCCUCAGAUCCUUUUUCAGGGCUCAAGCUCGGCCCGCCAGCUGGGAUCUGAAGGUUUGUGGCAUUCUGAAGGAGGAAAGACAACAGUGGUGAGUUGAAAUUUCCUUUGGGGAAAAGCGAAUAAUUGGAGAUCAUGGAAGAUCAUUGGGCAUUUAAAGGGUAUGUAAAGUCUUCAAUGCACCUUUUGCUGAUAUUAUACAGCGCUGAAUUUGAAUGCUGAAUUUAAAUCUGAAAUCUCUUAUGAAGGAAAUAUUUUUAUUUUUCGAUUAACGGCAAAAAUUGAUCGCACAUUGCUGGAUUCAUUGGAAAUACACGAGCAUACAGCGGAAAAUCCCGUGAAGGGAUGUGACGUCAGAAGUUGAGAUAAACAUGGCUCCUGUUCGACUCCAACGUGAGAACGGUGAUGAAUUUUUCCGAUAAUUCGAGUGAUGAACAUGAUUCUGUAGGGUCCCAACAAGACAGUGAAUAAUAUGAGCGUUAUAAAGGCGUUAAACUUUAUCAAUUUGAGCCAGUUAGAGAGAGCACACACUCAAAUGCAAAUGUUCAAAUGCAGAAAUGCAAAUAGCUGGUGAUGAAGACGUCAACCCAGCAGUCAGACCCAGCGAGGAGAACAUGCUCGUUUUGGAAACACUGACUUAUCCACAGGUGUGUAAAUGCUGCACACCCAUGGAAACAACAGAGUUGUUCCCAUGAGAGUCAACAUAUUCACCAGAAAAUGGCAGAUUAUGCAGACCAUCUGCUGCAGUGCAACCAGGACUUAUUGCCAGCUGUCUGAACCCAUGAGUACUUGAGGUUGCCGAUCUCCAGUUCAGGCAACAGUAUCAUCAGUGACUGGAUUUUAGCUAUUGUUAAAAAUUAUUAAUAUCAAUAUUUCUCCAGGUGGCACAGUGGAUCAGCUACAAAGCGUUGGCCUCGCAGUUCUGAGGUCUUGGGUUCAAUCCCGGACCCACCUGUGUGGAGUUUGGAUGUUCUCCCUGUGCCUGGGUGGGUUUUCACCGGGCACUCUGGUUUCCUCCGACAUCCCAAAAAAAACAUGCAACAAUAAUUGGACACUUUAAAUUGACCCUAGGAGUGAUUGUGACUGUGGCUGUUUGUCUCUAUGUACCCUGCGAUUGGAUGGCGACCAGUUCAGGGUGUACCUUGCCUCCUGCCCGUUGACAGCUGGGAUAGGCUCUAGCACUCCCACGACCCGAUUCUCGUGAGGAUAAGCGGCUUGGAAAAUGGGUGGGCAUGGGUACUUUGUUUAAAAAAAAAACUAAAAUACAUUAAAGUAAAAAAUAUAGGAUCCUUCACUUACUAUGAGAGUAGGGAGGCUGGGAUGUAGAAAAUGAAGGGAGGCUGCAGUCAGUUAUUGCUAAGUAAGCAAGUGCAGGGAGCCGAUGCUAGUGGUAAAUUCCUCCUCGGCUUCCUCUCCUUACUGCUCUUUCAAAGUUGGGAAAAUAUGCCAUACCAUCUUCCCUUAAUGAACAUGAGGCUGAUAUUUUGCCUACGUUGAUUCGGAUCCUUGAUCCAUAAUGUAAGUAAUCUUUCCAUCUUGGCAACGAUCGAACAACGUUGCAUCAGUUUUUUUUUUUCUUCACAAAAAAAAAGCUGCUUAAUGAUCACUGUAUCCCUCAUUGGGGUGAAACCCUUCACGUGCGCUAAAAUACAGGCUUUAUCCUAAAUGAUAAUCGCCACGGUCACCUGACUGAAGCCCAAGUCUUUAUUUCCGUCAUGUCCAUUGGUAUGAAUCCUUUCUCCGAUUUUAUUUAAUUUUUUUCAGUCAUUACUUUUCUUCGUCUGGACCAGCAUUGCUAAAAAAAAACAAACAAACCCAGCUUUCUUCUUUUGGGCCAUAAUGUGUAAAAAGGUGGGCAAAAAGGGUAAGUAAACUCCCAGUGCACAAACAAUAUGCAUGAGCAAAGCAGAAACACAAUGGUGCUGGGGCCAUAAUGACGGACACGACUCGGGCAUUGUAAAAUCGAAAUGUUUUAGGUCGAGACCAUCUUAACCCGAAAACUCCCUGUAUUUUCUUAUUUUCAGGUCGAUAUUGCUUAUAGACAGCUUGUCAGAUGGUGUUGGGGAAUUGUAGGCAGAAAAAAAUGUGCCACUUCCAUCCUGUAGUCUGUCUAAGAGUUGUGGCCAAUGGCCAAGAUUAAAAAUGUCAUGAUCCUGCCGCUUCAACACGAGCUGUGCGGGUGCCCGCGCGGCUGCGCGAAUUGGAGGCACACACCUGCGCCUCAUGCGGGCUGAUCAUCCCCCGUAUAUAUAGGACCCGGUGACGACUGGUCCUCGGCCAGUUCGUUGAGCUUUAUGUCCCGUUCCAGCACUCUCGUACCCCUGAUUGAACCUGUGUGUACCGACCUUCGUCCGUUCUCCGACCAACCCCGUAAGCCUGACUCCUUCGAUACUUCUGCCUGCGCUGAUUGUUCUCCCGUGUACCGACUCCUGCCUGUCCGCUCAUCUGCUCUCUCGCCCGACGUCACAACUACCGACUGCCGGCUCGAUCCCCGACCUCUGCAUACAAUAAACGUGUCCCUUCUUGUACUACCUUGCGUCUUCCGAGUUCCUGCAUUUGGGUCCUACUCUCGUUUCCGAUGGGACGUGACAAAAAAGCAUUUACAUGGUCUGCGGCUCGAUCCCCGACCUCUGCAUACAAUAAACGUGUCCCUUCUUGUACUACCUUGCGUCUUCCGAGUUCCUGCAUUUGGGUCCUACUCUCGUUUCCGAUGGGACGUGACAAAAAAGCAUUUACAUGGUCUGCAUCGUGAAUUUUUUUGUUUUGUCUUUGUAUAAAUGUUGAUGUAUAUGUUUACAAUGUAAACAUACACCACAGAACUAAAAUCACGUUUUUAUUGAACUAUAUGCUUAUAUUGUGUAUAAAUAUGUUUCUUUCAUAACAUUUUCACUGAAUGCUUAUUUGGUCUUUCAAUAUGAGCAUCCUGAGAUUGAAAUACAUGUUGCAGUAUCCUCUCUGAGGCCCUGUAGCUCAGUGGUUUAGAGCACUGGUUUGGUAAACCAGGGGUUGUGGGUUCGUAUCCCACUGGGGCCUCCACUCCCUGAGAAGGGUUGCGUCAGGAAGGGCAUCCGGCGUAAAAAUUGUGCCAAACAUAUAUAUGCGUUCAUCUGAGAUGACACGCUGUGGCGACCCCG
Syngnathoides biaculeatus (alligator pipefish) is the source of this 16845-nucleotide RNA transcript. It is a transcript of the gene named carbohydrate sulfotransferase 6, with no coding region annotated. The transcript is spliced from 3 exons. Lineage: Eukaryota; Metazoa; Chordata; Actinopteri; Syngnathiformes; Syngnathidae. The record is from RefSeq and is a predicted model, not a curated record.